AAUGAACGCUGGCGGCAGGCCUAACACAUGCAAGUCGAGCGAGCGGCGGACGGGUGAGUAAUGUAUGGGGACUGCCCGAUAGAGGGGGAUAACUACUGGAAACGGUGGCUAAUACCGCAUACUAUCGGAUAACCCAUAUGGGAUUAGCUAGUAGGUGGGGUAAAGGCUCACCUAGGCGACGAUCCCUAGCUGGUCUGAGAGGAUGAUCAGCCACACGGGGACUGAGACACGGCCCAGACUCCUACGGAGGCAGCAGUGGGGAAUAUUGCACAAUGGGCGCAAGCCUGAUGCAGCCAUGCCGCGUGUAUGAAGAAGGCCUUCGGGUUGUAAAGUACUUUUGGCGGGGAAGCGUUAUCCGCAGAAGAAGCACCGGCUAACUCCGUGCCAGCAGCCGCGGUAAUAC
Molecule: ribosomal RNA, 403 nt
Filed under: uncultured bacterium
Lineage: Bacteria
Description: partial 16S ribosomal RNA
Rfam family: Bacterial small subunit ribosomal RNA
Source: RNAcentral